Coffea arabica (coffee) is the source of this 716-nucleotide long non-coding RNA. RefSeq lists it as uncharacterized. NCBI's taxonomy places the organism in Eukaryota, Viridiplantae, Streptophyta, Magnoliopsida, Gentianales, Rubiaceae. The record is from RefSeq and is a predicted model, not a curated record.
UCAAAAAUGUGUAAUAGAGGUAUUUAAUCAGUGCAUUCCGUUGGCUCCUGUGCCUUAUGAACUGCAAGAAGAAGCAUUCUGGUCUUUACACCUUCUUCUUUGGAGUCUCUUUGGUUCCUUUUACUGCGGUUCAUAUCAUCAGUUAAGGAAUCCUUAAAUUUGAAGGCAAGAAGGAAGGCAAGUAUAAUAUUGUCAAGACAUACACUACUGAGGAAUCAGCUCACAUUCCAAUGGCGAUCACAACUGCAGAAACGAAUGAAAAAAUUCCAGACCUUCAUGCUACUGUGCUGCAAUCUGCUAACAAAAAUGAAUUUUUCAGUCCAUCAAUCAAAAAACUGCUUGAUAACAUCGCUGAAACUUCUGCUACUGCAAACAAAGUGCCACCUCCAGUGACCACAGCAAAGAGAGCCUUGGUUUUUUGAACUGUACCUCCUGAAAUUGGAUCAAAUUCUGCUGAAGCUAUUACACCUGCCUUACUGCCCACCAAUGCACUCUCAGCUUUCGCUCCAAUUAAUCUUGCGCCUGGAAGUCCCUUGAAGAAGCAACGUGAUAAUGAACUCUGAACUUGUUUGAAGCCUUUUUGAAUUGCUAAUCUUGCUAAUCUUGAAGCACUUUACAACUGAAUUGCUAAUGUUGCAUCUUUGGACACAAUAUUGACAUCCAUUAAGAAAUUGUUCUUUUGUGCAACUUAAUGGAUCUCAAUAUUUGAUAUUUUG